UAAGACGGGGGGAGCAAGCGUUGUUCGGAUUUACUGGGCGUAAAGGGCGUCUAGGCGGAUCAACAAGUCAGGUGUGAAAUCCCAUGACUCAAUCAUGGAACUGCAUUUGAAACUGUUGGUCUUGAGUACGGAAGAGGAAAGUGGAAUUCCUGGUGUAGCGGUGAAAUGCGUAGAUAUCAGGAAGAACACCGGUGGCGAAGGCGGCUUUCUGGUCCGAUACUGACGCUAAAGCGCGAAAGUGUGGGGAGCAAACAGGAUUAGAUACCCUGGUAGUCCACACUGUAAACGAUGGAUACUAGGUGUCGGGGACCCGACCUCUCCGGUGCCGUAGCUAACGCAUUAAGUAUCCCGCCUGGGGAGUACGAUCGCAAGGUUG
Molecule: ribosomal RNA, 376 nt
Filed under: uncultured bacterium
Lineage: Bacteria
Description: bacterial SSU rRNA
Rfam family: Bacterial small subunit ribosomal RNA
Source: RNAcentral